Molecule: ribosomal RNA, 234 nt
Filed under: uncultured Actinomycetales bacterium
Lineage: Bacteria; Bacillati; Actinomycetota; Actinomycetes; Actinomycetales
Description: partial 16S ribosomal RNA
Rfam family: Bacterial small subunit ribosomal RNA
Source: RNAcentral
UGGCGAACGGGUGAGUAACACGUGGGUGAUCUGCCCUGCACUUCGGGAUAAGCCUGGGAAACUGGGUCUAAUACCGGAUAGGACGAUGGUUUGGAUGCCAUUGUGGAAAGUUUUUCGGUGUGGGAUGAGCUCGCGGCCUAUCAGCUUGUUGGUGGGGUAAUGGCCUACCAAGGCGUCGACGGGUAGCCGGCCUGAGAGUGUGUAUGGCCACAUUGGGACUGAGAUACGGCCCAG